This 468-nucleotide ribosomal RNA is filed under the name uncultured bacterium. RNAcentral's name for it is "partial 16S ribosomal RNA". It matches the Rfam family "Bacterial small subunit ribosomal RNA", at positions 28 to 507 of the family's 1533-position model. The record is from RNAcentral.
GACGAACGCUGGCGGCGUGCUUAACACAUGCAAGUCGAACGGAAAGGCCCUGCUUUUGUGGGUUGCUCGAGUGGCGAACGGGUGAGUAACACGUGAGUAACCUGCCCUUGACUUUGGGAUAACUUCAGGAAACUGGGGCUAAUACCGGAUAGGAGCUCCUGCUGCAUGGUGGGGGUUGGAAAGUUUCGGCGGUUGGGGAUGGACUCGCGGCUUUUCAGCUUGUUAGUGGGGUAGUGGCUUACCAAGGCUUUGACGGGUAGCCGGCCUGAGAGGGUGACCGGACACAUUGGGACUGAGAUCAGGACCAGACUUAUACGGGAGGCAGCAGUGGGAGAUAUUGCACAAUGGGCGGAUGCCUGAUGCAGCAACGCCGCGAGCGGGAUGAAGGCCUUCGAGUUGAAAACCGCUUUCGCCGGUGACGAAGCGUGAGUGACGGUAAUGGGUAAAGAAACACCGGCUAAGUAAGUG